UCCUACGGGAGGCAGCAGUGGGGAAUUUUCCGCACUGGGCGAAAGCCUGACGGAGCAAUACCGCGUGAGGGAGGAAGGCUCUUGGGUUGUAAACCUCUUUUCUCAGGGAAGAACAAAAUGACGGUACCUGAGGAAUAAGCAUCGGCUAACUCCGUGCCAGCAGCCGCGGUAAUACGGAGGAUGCAAGCGUUAUCCGGAAUUAUUGGGCGUAAAGCGUCCGCAGGUGGCAGUUCAAGUCUGCUGUCAAAGGUCAGGGCUCAACCCUGAACAGGCAGUGGAAACUGAACAGCUAGAGUGCGGUAGGGGCAGAGGGAAUUCCCAGUGUAGCGGUGAAAUGCGUAGAGAUUGGGAAGAACACCGGUGGCGAAAGCGCUCUGCUAGGCCUGUACUGACACUCAGGGACGAAAGCUAGGGGAGCGAAUGGGAUUAGAUACCCCAGUAGUCCUAGCCGUAAACGAUGGAUACUAGGCGUAGCUUGUAUCGACCCAAGCUGUGCCGUAGCUAACGCGUUAAGUAUCCCGCCUGGGGAGUACGCGCGCAAGCGUGAAACUCAAAUGAAUUGACGG
RNAcentral lists this ribosomal RNA (566 nucleotides) under uncultured bacterium. RNAcentral's name for it is "bacterial SSU rRNA". It matches the Rfam family "Bacterial small subunit ribosomal RNA", at positions 337 to 916 of the family's 1533-position model. The record is from RNAcentral.